GGGCUCACACAAGCGGUGGAGGAUGUGGCUUAAUUCGAGGCUACGCGAAGAACCUUAUCCUAGAUUUGACAUGCUUGAGAAUUCCUUCGAAAGAAGGAAGUGCCCCUCGGGGAGCUUUUGCACAGGUGCUGCAUGGCUGUCGUCAGCUCGUGUCGUGAGAUGUCGGGUUAAGUCCCUUAACGAGCGAAACCCUUAUCUCUAGUUGCCAGCGGGUAAUGCCGGGGACUCUAGAGAGACUGCCGGUGUCAAACCGGAGGAAGGUGGGGAUGACGUCAAGUCCUCAUGGCCUUUAUGUCUAGGGCUGCACACGUCCUACAAUGGUACGGACAAACGGACGCGAAACCGCGAGGUGGAGCAAAUCCCACAAAGCCGAUCUUAGUCCGGAUCGCAGUCUGCAACUCGACUGCGUGAAGUUGGAAUCGCUAGUAA
RNAcentral lists this ribosomal RNA (429 nucleotides) under uncultured bacterium. RNAcentral's name for it is "bacterial SSU rRNA". It matches the Rfam family "Bacterial small subunit ribosomal RNA", at positions 917 to 1341 of the family's 1533-position model. The record is from RNAcentral.